GACACGAUGGCCGAGUGGUCUAAGGCGGUAGAUUUAAGCAUUGCUUAGAUCUCUACUAGGGCAACCUGCGUGGGGUAAAUUGAAAGCCUUUCUCGUUUGCGUUGUACGUAUGUUAACAGUUAUCAGUUCGAACCCCACUCGUGUCA
Non-coding RNA from Paraphoma chrysanthemicola, 146 nucleotides. NCBI's taxonomy places the organism in Eukaryota, Fungi, Ascomycota, Dothideomycetes, Pleosporales, Phaeosphaeriaceae. The record is from the annotation of a GenBank genome assembly.